This 350-nucleotide long non-coding RNA is filed under the name Trifolium pratense (red clover). Its description in RNAcentral is "long non-coding RNA (TPRA_LNC011235)". Lineage: Eukaryota; Viridiplantae; Streptophyta; Magnoliopsida; Fabales; Fabaceae. The record is from RNAcentral.
UUUGAAUUUGUUCUUUCAAUUUGACUCAAGAAGUUUACAAAAACCCUACUAUUCUGCCGUCUCACUCCUCACAGUGGUGUCGUUAUCAUCCUUUCUCAAAUCACCUCCCUCUCGCCAUCCUUCGUCUUACACUAUCUUCAUCCCCAAAUAAUCGUAUACUUCACAUUGCAACGCCACAUUACGCCUCUUUGCUCGACCACACCACCUCUCUCUCUCUGCUCGGCCGUAUCAAAUCAAAAUCGUCGGAAAAGUCAGUCUCCGCCACCACCACAAAAAAUUUCUCUAUCUCCUUCUCCCUUUUCUCUAUCAAAAUCGCCGGAAAAGUCAGUCUUCGCCACCACCACAGAAAG